RNAcentral lists this ribosomal RNA (567 nucleotides) under Rhodotorula sp. ROV07Q3FBM-03. RNAcentral describes it as "eukaryotic LSU rRNA". The stretch from base 134 to 287 matches the Rfam family "5.8S ribosomal RNA". The record is from RNAcentral. Lineage: Eukaryota; Fungi; Basidiomycota; Microbotryomycetes; Sporidiobolales; Sporidiobolaceae.
UUAACUUGGAGUCCGAACUCUCACUUUCUAACCCUGUGCACUUGUUUGGGAUAGUAACUCUCGCAAGAGAGCGAACUCCUAUUCACUUAUAAACACAAAGUCUAUGAAUGUAUUAAAUUUUAUAACAAAAUAAAACUUUCAACAACGGAUCUCUUGGCUCUCGCAUCGAUGAAGAACGCAGCGAAAUGCGAUAAGUAAUGUGAAUUGCAGAAUUCAGUGAAUCAUCGAAUCUUUGAACGCACCUUGCGCUCCAUGGUAUUCCGUGGAGCAUGCCUGUUUGAGUGUCAUGAAUACUUCAACCCUCCUCUUUCUUAAUGAUUGAAGAGGUGUUUGGUUUCUGAGCGCUGCUGGCCUUUACGGUCUAGCUCGUUCGUAAUGCAUUAGCAUCCGCAAUCGAACUUCGGAUUGACUUGGCGUAAUAGACUAUUCGCUGAGGAAUUCUAGUCUUCGGAUUAGAGCCGGGUUGGGUUAAAGGAAGCUUCUAAUCAGAAUGUCUACAUUUUAAGAUUAGAUCUCAAAUCAGGUAGGACUACCCGCUGAACUUAAGCAUAUCAAUAAGCGGAGGAA